This 253-nucleotide ribosomal RNA is filed under the name uncultured bacterium. RNAcentral describes it as "partial 16S ribosomal RNA". It matches the Rfam family "Bacterial small subunit ribosomal RNA", at positions 524 to 776 of the family's 1533-position model. The record is from RNAcentral.
UACGUAGGGGGCAAGCGUUGUCCGGAAUCAUUGGGCGUAAAGCGCGUGUAGGCGGUCCGGUAAGUCCGCUGUGAAAGUCGGGGGCUCAACCCUCGGAUGCCGGUGGAUACUGUCGGGCUUGAGUACGGAAGAGGCGAGUGGAAUUCCUGGUGUAGCGGUGAAAUGCGCAGAUAUCAGGAGGAACACCAAUUGCGAAGGCAGCUCGUUGGGACGUUACUGACGCUGAGACGCGAAAGCGUGGGGAGCAAACAGG